Molecule: ribosomal RNA, 339 nt
Filed under: uncultured Sebacinales
Lineage: Eukaryota; Fungi; Basidiomycota; Agaricomycetes; Sebacinales
Description: partial 18S ribosomal RNA
Rfam family: Group I catalytic intron (bases 13-268)
About the family: Group I catalytic introns are large self-splicing ribozymes. They catalyse their own excision from mRNA, tRNA and rRNA precursors in a wide range of organisms.
Source: RNAcentral
GACUCUAAACAAGUAGGUGGAUUAAACGCUAGUCUCUUUGGAAGAGGCGACACUAUCAAAUUGCGGGAAGAUCCUGUCAGGUCCACAUCACCGCGGCUCACCGAAAGGUGUAGUGCAGCACCAGGCUAACAACCUUGGGUAUGGUAAUAGUAUGUGGAAUAGGGAGAAUCUGCAGCCAAGCCCCUCUCUUGGGGUGCAGUUCACAGGCCAAAUGGUAGUGGGCACUCUGGUGCUUAAGAUAUGGUCGAGUCCCAAUUGAAAAGUUGGGUACAAGUACUCUGAUUGAUUACAUACAGUCUGUGCUGGUUGUAAAUGCAAAUGUUCCGUAGGUGAACCUGC